Non-coding RNA from Pelobates cultripes (western spadefoot toad), 357 nucleotides. The record is from the annotation of a GenBank genome assembly. Lineage: Eukaryota; Metazoa; Chordata; Amphibia; Anura; Pelobatidae.
AAUAAGUAUAUGCUGUUAUGUAGGACAUUAGGAGAAUCUAUGAUUUGAUUUUAUAAUGUUGAUAUGAAUAGUAUACAUAAUUGAGAUAUUGGUGUCAGUGGAACGCAUACAUUUAGCUCCUGGAACGCAAAACCGAAGGUGGACCGCAAGGAAAUGGCCGCUGGAACGCAUGCCUAGCGAAACCGGAAGUGACGUCACACAACCUAAAUGAUAUGGAUUGGAACUACUGGGGGAACCCAGGAGGACGCUGAUAGGAUGAUUGAAGCAGGGGAACGCCCCCUUUUUACAGAUUAUGGCGCCAAAGAGCAUUUAUAAACUGGCAAUAUAGUUUAGAGAACUUAUGCACCUGAGGAAGAU